This 7336-nucleotide long non-coding RNA is filed under the name Salmo salar (Atlantic salmon). Its description in RNAcentral is "lncRNA (ENSSSAG00000114489.1)". Lineage: Eukaryota; Metazoa; Chordata; Actinopteri; Salmoniformes; Salmonidae. The record is from RNAcentral.
AAAAAACGUACCCGAUUUAUACUGGUUACUACUCUUGCCCAGAAAUGAGAAUAUGCAUAUAAGUAGUAGAUUUGGAUAUAAAACACUCUAAAGUUUCUAAAACUGUUUGAAUGGUGUCUGUGAGUAUAACAGAACUCAUAUGGCAGGCCAAAACCUGAGAAGAUUCCAUAAAGGAAGUGCCCUGUCUGAACAUUUGUUCUCCUUCUGUGGCAUCUCUAUCAAAAAUACAGCAUCUCUGCUGUAACGUGACAUUUUCUAAGGCUUCCAUUGGCUCUCAGAAGGCGCCAGAAAGUGGAAUGACGUCUCUGCCGUCUCUGGGCGAAAAACAGCAGGAGUUUUUGUGAGUGGUCAGGCAGGGAAGAGAGGACUCCAUAUUUUUCUUUCAAUCUUUGAACGAAUACAACGUCGCCCAGUUGGAAUAUUAUCACUAUUUUACGAGAAAAAUCGCAUAAAAAUUGAUUUUAAACAGCGUUUGACAUGCUUCGAAGUACAGUAAUGGAAUAUUUUGAUUUUUUUUGUUAGGAAAUGUGCUCGCGCGUCACCCUUCGGAUAGUUAUCUGAACGCACGAACAAAACGGAGGUAUUUGGAUAUAACUAUGGAUUAUUUGGAACCAAAACAACAUUUGUUGUUGAAGGAGAAGUCCUGGGAGUACAUUCUGACGAAGAACAGCAAAGAAAAUCUGUCAAGUUUUUAGGCCAUAUCGUCCCGGCAGAGGGCAUUGCAACCGACCCAGGAAAAGUGUCUGCAAUCAACGACAUCACAGCAGCUGACCUGAUGGAAAAUGAUGGGAAAACACCUUCACCCACCAAGGACAGAAAAGUAAGCGGAAAGGAGAAAAAGGAAAACCUCAUGGCAUGGCCUAUAAACGUCUGAAACCUGAAGACUGGACUUCUGAAUGUGGGGAGGCGCUGGAAAAGCUAAAAGCUGCUGUCUCCCAAACAGCCGUGCUGGCUCACCCAGACUUUAACAGACCAUUUCUCCUAUCAACAGAUGCAUCAAUGGAUGGCUUAGGUGCAGUGCUUAGCCAGACAUUUGAGGGUGAGAGUAGGCCCAGACCAAUAGCUUUUGCAAGCAAGACUCUGUCGAGGUCCCAGUCCCGUUACCCAGCACACAGAUUAGAGUUCUUCGCUCUUAAGUGGGCUGUGUGUGAUAAGUUCACCCAUUGGCUGAAGGGGAAUAGAUUCACAGUCCUAACAGAUAACAACCCCCUGACAUUUAUAAUGACGAAACCAAAGCUAGAUGCCUGUGAGCAGCGGUGGGUCUCUAAACUGGCCCCCUUCGACUUUGACUUGAAGUACAUCCCCGGGCCCCAGAAUGUCCCAGCAGACCUGCUUAGUCGACAGCCGUUCGUUGGAGCUAGGAAGGCAAGUGAGUUCCCAGAGUAUGUGACUUCAGAGUCCAUCCAGGACGCAUUCAAACUGUCAGUCAAUAUCCAAGGUGGUGAGAUCCUGGCUCAAGUCUCUUCUGAAGGAGUGAAAGCAGUUUUGGAAUUCUGUCUGGAGUGGGAUGCGAGUGUGCCAGUGCGCAAAUUCCAAUUAGCCCAGUAUUCUGCCAGCAUCCUUCAGCAUGAAGGGGGAGUGGCUACUCUUCCAGUCCUUUCUCCUGAUGUGAUACGGAGAAAACAGAAGGCGGAUCAGGUGCUGGCCUGAGUGGCGUACUUUGUUGAGAGGAGGAGGAGACCUUCGCGGAGAGAGAGGGCUCAUGAGACUGCCCAAGUGUUGAGAAUACUGAAGUAUUGGGAAAAACUCAAAAUCAAGGAUGAGAUCCUCUACCGAAGAUCUAAGGACAGAGUUGUCAAGAAGAGGUACCAGCUGGUGGUGCCAGACUCCCUUAAAGCCAUCGUUCUGAGGGGAACCCAUGAUGAAGCCGGCCACCAAGGCCAGACUAGAACACUCCAUUUGGUACGUCAAAGGUUCUUCUGGAAUGGAAUGGAAGGGGAAGUGAAGAAGUAUGUCUCCUACUGUAAGCGCUGUGUGGUUGGCAAGACAAUGGAGCCAGAGGCUAGGGCACCGUUGGAAUCUAUUCAGACCAGCACAGCGUUGGAACUGGUGUGCAUAGACUUCUGGUCAGCAGAAGGAAGGGAUGGAGAGAGCGUUGAUGUACUCGUCAUCACCGAUCAUUUUACGAAGCUGGCACAUGCGUUUCCUUGCUCGAACCAGACAGCAAAGGUGGUUGCCCAGAAGUUAUGGAACCAGUUCUUCUGUGUCUAUGGGUUUCCCCAGCGGAUACACUCUGACAAAGGAGCAAACUUUGAGAGUCACUUAAUCGCAGAAUUGCUACAAGUCUCAGGAGUCAAAAAGUCCCAUACCACUCCAUAUCAUCCUAUGGGCAACGGUCAGACGGAAAGAUUCAACCGCACGCUCGGAAACAUGGUCCGAUCGUUGCCAGCGAGAGCAAAAGAAAGAUGGCCCCAGAUGAUACAGACGCUCAACCUUCUCGUACAACUGUACCACACACGAAACGACAGGAUUCGCACCAUUCUUCCUGAUGUUCGGCCGAAUUCCACGGCUGCCAGUGGACAUCAUGUUUGGAAGUACCUUGAAAAACGAAGACAUGUUGACUCAUGACGAGUAUGUUGACUCGUUCCAAAAGGUCCUGCGAGAGGCUGUCAGGAUCGCUCAGGCCAACACCACUGAAGCUCAGAAAAAGCAAGCAAGGCAGUAUAACAAGAGAGUGAAGGGUACUGCCCUGGAGAUUGGGGACCAAGUUCUCUUGGCAAACCGAAAGGAAAGAGGAAAAGGUAACUUGCCGACUUGUGGGAUUCAACGGUCUAUGUGAUCACAUGGAAAGACCCGUCUGUGCACAUCUACAGAGUUGAAGAUCCUACUACCAAGAAGAGUAAAGUAGUUCAUCGAAACUUCAUACUGCCAGUGAACUUCCUGCCGGUGGGACAGACAGACGAGAUGUCCACAGUAGCCUCUACUGCUUCAGAGGAGGACAUAAACGCAGACAGCGGUGACGAAAGACCGGUAUUCGAUGUGGAUGAGGAUUCAGAGGAUCGAAGGACUGCUGUCUGGAUUCUCGAGGGCCAGAACCCUGAGGGGCCCACGGAAGCUGAAGGUCAAAAAUCUUCGGGACCGGAAGAUGGCGUGAACAUGAGAGAAGCUGCUCCUCAAAGCCCAGCGAAGGACAUGAUCUCAGGACAAGCAGCUAAAUCAAGCACAUCAAGCUCUUCAAUGAUGCCUGGUGAUGAUUCAAGUGAUCCUUCUGAAGAUGACACAAGUAGAAAAGCAACGUCAGUGAGCAGUCUAGAUGGCAUCCGCAGUAGAAGUUCAUCAGUCAGCGGCUCUGUAUGCAUAAGACCUACUAAGAAGAGAAUGAGUAACCAGAGAGAGGUAGAGCGCAGAAACAGCCAGACGUCUGAGCUCACUGAUACAGUCCUGAGACCAAGUAAAGGCACUUUGAGAACUCGAACUGGAAGAGUUGUGAAGUCUGUCAGAAGACUUUUAUAGUCAAUGAGUCAAGUGAUUGCUGAGCCGGACAAAAGAGAGCAUCUAGCCGCCCUGAUUCAAGCCUUAUCAACUUUUGUUGAAGUGACAGUACCCCAGUAACACAGAAGCCAGAGGAUAGAUUAAGGAAAUGAGAAAUACUUUAUUAGGGGGUCAUAGGUUGUAGUAUAUGGGCAUAUUUCUACCUGGCAAAGUCUCUUUGCUGUCCUUCUGGACGACUCUUGGUCAAGGUUACACCUGUGGAGGAAGAACUCUUACCUUAUGUCUUAAAGUUUGCUAAAAUCAAGAAGGGGUGAGUGUAGUAGAGUUAACUUCUCUAGGGCCAGUGGGACGAUUUCGUCCCACCUACGUAACAGCCAGUGGAAUCCCGUGGCGCAUUAUUCAAAUACCUUAGAAAUGCUAUUACUUCAAUUUCUCAAACAUAUGACUAUUUUACACCAUUUUAAAGACAAGACUCUCGUUAACCUCUAUGGGCUAGGCGGGACGUAAUCGUCCCACCUACGUAACAGCCAGUGUAAUCCAGUGGCGUGAUUUUCAAAUACCUUAAAAAUCCUAUUACUUCAAUUUCUCAAACAUAUGACUAUUUUACAGCUAUUUAAAGACAAGACUCUCGUUAAUCUAACCACACUGUCCGAUUUCAAAAAGGCUUUACAACGAAAGCAAAACAUUAGAUUAUGUCAGCAGAGUACCCAGCCAGAAAUAAUCAGACACCCAUUUUUCAAGCUAGCAUAUAAUGUCACAAAAACCCAGAAGACAGCUAAAUGCAUCACUAAAAUUUGAUGAUCUUCAUCAGAUGACAACCCUAGGACAUUAUGUUAUACAAUACAUGCAUGUUUUGUUCAAUCAAGUUCAUAUUUAUAUCAAAAACCAGCUUUUUACAUUAGCAUGUGACGUUCAGAACUAGCAUACCCCCCGCAAACUUCCGGUGAAUUUACUAACAAUUUACUAAAUUACUCACGAUAAACGUUCACAAAAAGCAUAACAAUUAUUUUAAGAAAUAUAGACACAGACCUCCUCUAUGCACUCGAUAUGUCCGAUUUUAAAAUAGCUUUUUGGUGAAAGCACAUUUUGCAAUAUUCUAAGUACAUAGCCCAGCCAUCACGGGCUAGCUAUUUAGACACCCGGCAAGUUUAGCCUUCACCAAAAUCAGAUUUACUAUAACAAAAAUGUUAUUACCUUUGUUGUCUUCGUCAGAAUGCACUCCCAGGACUUCUACUUCAAUAACAAAUGUUGGUUUGGUCCCAAAUAAUCCAUUGUUAUAUCCGAAUAGCGGCGUUUUGUUCGUGCGUUCCAGAAACUAUCCGAAAUGGUAAAUCAGGGUCACGCGCAUGGCGCAAUUCGUGACAAAAAAAUUCUAAAUAUUCCAUUACCGUACUUCGAAUGCAUGUCAACCGCUGUUUAAAAUCAAUUUUUAUGCAAUUUAUCUCGUAAAAAAGCGAUAACAUUCCGACCGGGAAUCUCCUUUUCGGUAAACAGAGGAAAAAUCACAAAGACGGGGGCGGCCAGUGCACGCGCCUAAGCCCACAGUCCCUUGAUCGGCCACUUGAGAAAGGCGAUAAUGUGUUUCAGCCUGGGGCUGGAAUGACGACAUUCAGGUUUUUCCCGGGCUCUGAGAGCCUAUUGGAGCCGUGGGAAGUGUCACGUUACCGCAGAGAUCCUUUGUAAUGGAAUGAGAUGUCAAAGAAAGACAAUAAAUGGUCAGACAGGCCACUUCCUGUAAAGGAAUCUCUCAGGUUUUGACCUGCCAUUUGAGUUCUGUUAUACUCACAGACACCAUUCAAACAGUUUUAGAAACUUUGGGGUGUUUUCUAUCCAAAGCCAAUAAUUAUAUGCAUAUUCUAGUUACUGGGCAGGAGUAGUAACCAGAUUAAAUCGGGUACGUUUUUUAUCCAGCCGUGUCAAUACUGCCCCCUAGCCCUAACAGGUUAAUCUAACCACACUGUCCGAUUUCAAAAAGGCUUUACAACGAAAGCAAAACAUUAGAUUACGUCAGCAGAGUACCCAGCCAGAAAUAAUCAGACACCCAUUUUUCAAGCUAGCAUAUAAUGUCACAUAAACCCAAACCACAGCUAAAUGCAGCACUAACCUUUGAUGAUCUUCAUCAGAUGACAAUCUUAGGACAUUAUGUUAUACAAUGCAUGCAUGUUUUGUUCAAUCAAGUUCAUAUUUAUAUCAAAAACCAGCUUUUUACAUUAGCAUGUGAUGUUCAGAACUAGCAUACCCCCCGCAAACUUCCGGUGAAUUUACUAAAUUACUCACGGUGAAAGCACAUUUUGCAAUAUUCUAAGUAGAUAGCCCGUCAUCACAGGGCUAGCUAUUUAAACACCCACCAAGUUUAGCCCUAACCAAAGUCAGAUUUACUAUAAGAAAAAUGUUAUUACCUUUGCUGUUCUUCGUCAGAAUGCACUCCCAGGACUUCUACUUCAAUAACAAAUGUUGGUUUGGUUCAAAAUAAUCCAUAGUUAUAUCCAAAUAGCGGCGUUUUGUUCAUGCGUUCAAGACACUAUCCGAAAGGGUAAAGAAGGGUGACGCGCCCGACGCGUUUCGUGACAAAAAAAUUCUAAAUAUUCCAUUACCGUACUUCGAAGCAUGUCAACCGCUGUUUAAAAUCAAUUUUUUUUGCCAUUUUUCUCGUAAAAAAGCGAUAAUAUUCCGACCGGGAAUCUGUGUUUUAGUACAAAGAGAGAGAAAAUAAAAACAUGGGGUCUCCUCGUGCACGCACCUCAGUCUCAUUGUCCUCUGAUAGACCACUUACCAAAGGCGCUAAUGUUUUUCAGCCAGGGGCUGGAAUUACAUCAUUCAGCUUUUUCCUGGGUUCUGAGAGCCUAUGGGAGCCGUAGGAAGUGUCACGUUACAGCAAAGAUCCUCAGUUUUCAAUAAAGAGAAUCAAGAAGAACAAGAACUUGUCAGACAGGCCACUUCUUGUAAGGAAUCUUCUCAGGUUUUUGCCUGCCAUAUGAGUUCUGUUACACUCACAGACACCAUUCAAACAGUUUUAGAAACUUUAGGGUGUUUUCUAUCGAAAGCCAAUAAUUAUAUGCAUAUUCUAGUUUCUGGGCAGUAGUAAUAACCAGAUUAAAUCGGGUACGUUUUUUAUCCGGCCGUGUAAAUACUGCCCCCUCGCCCUAACAGGUUAAAAUGGUUAUUCCAGCAAACUUCAAAUUAUUAGAAUAGUACACAACGCAGAACAGAACAAUCAGGUUGAGGGUCAGUGGCCAAAGCCCGCGAACAGGAAUAUUCCAAGUUCAGACAGAAGGGGGGAGUCAGAUCGCUAUGAUCGCCAGGAACUUUACUUUUGGUUUCUAAUUUUAAUUGUUGCGCUACUGGUGAUGCCUGUUGAUGUUAGGUAGGCAGCUACAGUAGCUGAAUGAUGUUAACAUCUUCGGGUUUUGUUUCAUUAAAUGCAUAUUAUUUUAUCUGGGUGCUUACGUCACCUACUAACACCCUGGUACUACCCAUAGCUCCCGCUCUCCUCAGUCUGAGAAAACACUGAGAGAGAAAGGUAUGGGUUGCAGAUUACUCCUUUGUAGAAGUCCGUAACGUGAAAUAAAUAAAACGUCCCAAGGUUAAUGCUGUAGAUAUUGUUAUAAGGGGGUGUGAGACUAUCGAAACACGUAACUUUCAGAGUUUUAUUGUUGUUAUUAAUAUAGUUACAGAGUGCUAAAAGUGUUGCUAGCUAGCAUGCCUUUCUUUCUGUGAUGCAGACGGCUAGCUGAGCUGCCAACUAGUGGUGGUGUUGCAUUAUGGGGGAUGUAGUUUUUGCCCUCUAGGGCGAUUUUACGUUGUAACUUGUUUGUGUUGCAGUGGUUUUGUACAUGAGUUGUUGUAUUUUGCUACUAUCAACACUGAAAGCACCUAGCAAUGUAUUGGGGAUGUGAGACAGGAU